GUACCAGAAGCUGUGGGCAGUUUUCUGCCCAACUUCUGAGUGUAUGAAAAUUGUUCCCUCCCUAUGAGGAUGCUUGUUGCAGAAUGGCUGCGUGAUCAUGGCCAUGACUCCCUUGAAGAUCUUUGUGAAACAAAGUUAGCGUAAGUUAGCUGAAGCAGGCCUUGCAGCUAUGCUGAGGCAUGCUGAUAAGGAAGCUGAGAAAAACACACUGACCUUGUGCCUAAUGUUGUAAAUAACUUUGAGGAAGUCACGUAGACAAGAGAGAAAAAAAAAUAUGUAGCUAGCUAACCGCAGAAACCGCAAGUAGGAGGACAUAUGAAAAUGUAAGCCUUUAGAGCUUAACUAAUCAGCAGAUGACUAGUAGGCAUAAUUAGCUGGAACUGUAUAUAAGACAUAAUCGCGCCGUAAUAAAGUGAAGCUUGCUUUAUCACUCACAUUGAGUUUGCCUGCUUGACUUCCCUCGCCGUCAGCAAGUGGCGCCCGAACAGGGACCUGACGCCUUCAUUAUGUUCCCGUGAAGAGAGGACCCCCACUCCUCCUCCGGUUGACAGCGUGCUCGUUGAGGCCCCGGUUGCAGCGUCCGGGAAGCAGGAGACUGGCUCCGAAGAUAUCGUUCGCCGUCUCCCCGCUUAGACCUUCGGCAACAAGGCAGGGUCUGCCAGCCGAGAAAGAGGCUACCUAGCGAAAUCGCUGCUCCGGACCAGAUAACAAGGAGGUCGCGGAAAUCCAACCUCGCCGGACAAAGAAGGGGGGCGAGAUUACAGAGUGCGCGCAUCAUGGAAAGAGAGGUAGCCUUUGAAUUAUUAAGACGCUUUUUAGAAAAGCGGGGAGUAGGCCCUUUAAAAGACCUGGCCGGGUUAAUUGCUAUGGGAAAAGCGAAAGGGUUUUUUACAGAUCCCGAAAAAAUGUUUGAAGUAGAGGAGUGGCGUGCGUUUGGAGACUGCUUGUGGGACUUAGUUAUAGAUGACGAUAAGGCAGAAAAAAAGAAAAAAUAAAAAGUUAAUGAAAUCAUGGCGUGAAGUAACUAAUUGUAUAAAAAGAUAUCAAGCAGAAAAGUGCCUUGCUGCGGCAGCAACAAGCCGACUUGCAAGCGCAAAUCCUAAUGCAGGAAAAAUUAUGCCAUGUGAAAAUCACAUUCCAAUACCCCCUUUAUCACAAACAGUGCCCUCUGUACCACCUAUAGAGCCCACUGCACCACCUCCAGACCCUUCGUGUCCUCCGCCUCCCCCCCCUCCGGUGCAUAGCCUCGGGUGGGCCAGAGGGCAGAGACACAUCUGACGAAAGUUCUGUUGAGGAAGAAAAUAGCAGUGGGCAGUCAUUACAAAAUUCUAAAAAUUCUAAAAAUUCAGUAAACAAACUGUUGUGUUCUACGCGCAUCAAUUGGCAAAAAAUAGCACAAGAAGCAGCUGCUCAGGGAAUAUUUGAUAUUGCUGAGCAAGUCAACCCCCCACAAGCUUUCCCUGUAACAUAUCAGAUAAAUGCCGCUAACCAAAGACAAGGAACCUGGGAGGCCUUUGAUUGGAAAAUAUUAAGUUACGCAGUUACGCAGUACAGUGAAUGAGUCAGGCCUCCACAGUGAGCCCACCAGACAAAUGUUAAAUUAUAUUUGGAGCAGUGAUAUACUGUGCCCCGAAGAUAUUAAAAACAUAAUGCGUCUCAUUUUGAAACAAUCCCAGCAAUUGUUGUGGCAAGCCCAUUGGCAGCGGCUAUGUGAAGUAUCUGCACAUAGUCCAAGGCAGCAGGGUGACCCUCUGUUAGGAGUCACCGUUGAGCAGCUAAUGGGCACAGGGCCAUUUCAAAGCGUCGACGCUCAACUGCACCUUACCCCUGAGGUAGCAGCCGAGUCCAUGAGACUAGCCCGAGAAGCCCUGCAGAGACUAAAAACUUCGCCACCCUCACCAUCAUAUUUAUCUGUUAAACAGGGGAGAGAUGAGUCUUUUGCAUCCUUUGUUGACCGAGUAACUGAAGCUAUCAACUUAGCCGAUAUGCCUACCUUUAUGAAAGGGCCGUUAUUGCGCCAAUGUAUUUUGGAGAAUAGUAACAGUUACACCAAAGGCAUUUUAGUAACCCUGCCCUUAGAUUCUUCUGUAGAAACAAUGCUAGAGCGAAUGAGUCGGGUGCCAGUAGGUCAGCAAGCCUUGCUAGUGGAAGCAAUCCAAGCAGUAGGGAGAGAUUUAGUGCAAGCCCAAAGUCAGGCUUUUGCAGCGCUUGCGCCUCUGCGCCCCCCUGGGGCUACCGCGCCCCCAAAGCCAGUGAUCACCAAGCGCUGAGACUUCCUCUGUUAUCGAUGCGGGAAACCAGGACAUACCCGUGACCGCUGUCGACAACAUCAAGUGUGGUGCCAAAAUUGUCAGUGAGGGACCCACAACACCAAUGUCUGUCGGCAGACGGGAAACGAGAAACCUAGUGCGAGGAGCCGCAGCGCGUCGACCCCAAUCAUGGCUCCUGUCACCUUCAUGACACCCCCUCCAGGAGACAUGACCAACUCUUAUCGGCAGACACCAUGUUACAACCCGCCACCCGAGGGAGCCUCGGCCUGGACCUGGCAACAGCAGUAGAUACAACAUUAAUUGACAACCGACCACAAAAAAUCGCAACUCGUGUCCGAGGACCUUUGAUAAUUAAUGGACAAAGUUAUGGUGCUCUAUUAUUAGGGCGGUCUUCUGGUAGUCUAAAAGGGCUGUUGCAAAGUGUGUUGCUUAUAGUAAUAAUUGUUAUCAUUGCACUCGUAUGUUUAAGCUGUGCUCUCUCUUGUAUUCGAAAAUUACUCGAGCGUGUAACUGGACAAGUUUUGCUUGCGCAAAGAGAAAAAGGGGGAAUUGUUGCAGAAUGGCUGCGUGAUCAUGGCCAUGACUCCCUUGAAGAUCUUUGUGAAACAAAGUUAGCGUAAGUUAGCUGAAGCAGGCCUUGCAGCUAUGCUGAGGCAUGCUGAUAAGGAAGCUGAGAAAAACACACUGACCUUGUGCCUAAUGUUGUAAAUAACUUUGAGGAAGUCGCGUAGACAAGAGAGAAAAAAAAAUAUGUAGCGAGCUAACCGCAGAAACCGCAAGUAGGAGGACGUAUGAAAAUGUAACCCUUUAGAGCUUAGCCAAUCAGCAGAUGACUAGUAGGCAUAAUUAGCUGGAACUGUAUAUAAGACAUAAUCGCGCCGUAAUAAAGUGAAGCUUGUUUUAUCACUCA
This is a long non-coding RNA of Falco peregrinus (peregrine falcon), 3180 nucleotides long. RefSeq lists it as uncharacterized. The record is from RefSeq and is a predicted model, not a curated record. The transcript is spliced from 2 exons. Lineage: Eukaryota; Metazoa; Chordata; Aves; Falconiformes; Falconidae.